RNAcentral lists this ribosomal RNA (253 nucleotides) under uncultured microorganism. RNAcentral's name for it is "partial 16S ribosomal RNA". It matches the Rfam family "Bacterial small subunit ribosomal RNA", at positions 524 to 776 of the family's 1533-position model. The record is from RNAcentral.
UACGUAGGGUGCGAGCGUUAAUCGGAUUUACUGGGCGUAAAGCGUGCGCAGGCGGUUUGUUAAGCGAGAUGUGAAAGCCCCGGGCUCAACCUGGGAACCGCAUUUCGAACUGGCAAACUAGAGUCUUGUAGAGGGGGGUAGAAUUCCAAGUGUAGCGGUGAAAUGCGUAGAGAUUUGGAGGAACACCAGUGGCGAAGGCGGCUCUCUGGCCAGUUACUGACGCUCAUGCGCGAAAGCUGGGGGAGCGAACCGG